UUAAUAAAUUAAAUUUAAUUAAAAAUAAAUAUCUAAAUUUUAAGUAUAUCAUUUACAAUGAUAAGAUGUUUUUAACUUUAUUUAAAUU
Molecule: transfer RNA, 88 nt
Filed under: Pseudoregma koshunensis
Lineage: Eukaryota; Metazoa; Arthropoda; Insecta; Hemiptera; Hormaphididae
Description: tRNA-Val
Source: RNAcentral